Molecule: ribosomal RNA, 405 nt
Filed under: uncultured bacterium
Lineage: Bacteria
Description: bacterial SSU rRNA
Rfam family: Bacterial small subunit ribosomal RNA
Source: RNAcentral
AAUGGACGAAAGUCUGACCCAGCCAUGCCGCGUGCAGGAUGACUGCCCUAUGGGUUGUAAACUGCUUUUCUACGGGAAGAAACACUCAUACGUGUGUGAGCUUGACGGUACCGUAGGAAUAAGGAUCGGCUAACUCCGUGCCAGCAGCCGCGGUAAUACGGAGGAUCCAAGCGUUGUCCGGAUUCAUUGGGUUUAAAGGGUGCGUAGGCGGACUACUAAGUCAGGGGUGAAAUCUUGCGGCUCAACCGUAAAAUUGCCUUUGAAACUGGUAGUCUUGAGUUCGGUCGAGGUGGAUGGAAUGUGUCAUGUAGCGGUGAAAUGCUUAGAUAUGACCCAGAACACCAAUUGCGAAGGCAGUUCACUAGACCGACACUGACGCUGAGGCACGAAAGCGUGGGGAGCGAA